UGGGGAAUAUUGCACAAUGGGCGCAAGCCUGAUGCAGCCAUGCCGCGUGUAUGAAGAAGGCCUUCGGGUUGUAAAGUACUUUCAGCGAGGAGGAAGGCGUUGUGGUUAAUAACCGCAGCGAUUGACGUUACUCGCAGAAGAAGCACCGGCUAACUCCGUGCCAGCAGCCGCGGUAAUACGGAGGGUGCAAGCGUUAAUCGGAAUUACUGGGUGUAAAGCGCACGCAGGCGGGUCGUCAAGUCGGAUGUGAAAUCCCCGGGCUCAACCUGGGAACUGCAUCCGAAACUGGCAGGCUAGAGUCUUGUAGAGGGGGGUAGAAUUCCAGGUGUAGCGGUGAAAUGCGUAGAGAUCUGGAGGAAUACCGGUGGCGAAGGCGGCCCCCUGGACAAAGACUGACGCUCAGGUGCGAAAGCGUGGGGAGCAAACA
RNAcentral lists this ribosomal RNA (427 nucleotides) under uncultured bacterium. RNAcentral describes it as "partial 16S ribosomal RNA". It matches the Rfam family "Bacterial small subunit ribosomal RNA", at positions 355 to 774 of the family's 1533-position model. The record is from RNAcentral.